Long non-coding RNA from Glycine soja, 1891 nucleotides. RefSeq lists it as uncharacterized. The transcript has 3 exons. The record is from RefSeq and is a predicted model, not a curated record. NCBI's taxonomy places the organism in Eukaryota, Viridiplantae, Streptophyta, Magnoliopsida, Fabales, Fabaceae.
ACAAACAUGAAUCCAUUUUUUUUAUUUCUGUCUUCAUAUCAUGUCAUAUUACUUAUAUUACAUACAUUCACAACUAAAAAAGUCAUUAUUCAUGUCAUGAUUCUAAGACGAUUCUAAUCGUCUUAAAAUGAUUAGCGGUGACAUUUUUGUAAUAAAGUCAAACACAACGACGACGUUUUCCUAGAAUCGCCUUUGAUGAGUAGAUAAGCAUGUGUGGGAUGGCAAAGUUGUAAUUUUGUACUACGGUACAAAGACAGUUUUAUCCGAAAAACCGUCUUUGUUUGCUUACUCAUUUCAGUAUCGCGUGAUUCCUUCACUGCUAACCCGACAACACAAAUUCUUCGCCCUAGCUAGCUGUCGCUCCCGUGACAUCAUCGCAUCAUGCCCUCUGUGAACCCCAGGCCACUCCGCCGUCUCCCGUGCCGGUCCGCUAUCAUCUUGGUUUGAGUGCGAUUGAAGGUCACCUACUGGGUUCCUUAGCUGAGGCUGAGCCCCAAUUUAGGUAUGCAUGUGAUCCUUCCAAGCAGUAAGUUCCUCCCUUCCCCUUUCUUUACCUAUUAAUUAUUAUUCUCAACUUCGUCCCCUUCUCCUUAAUUCUAUUGCCACAAAGAAGUUGUAGUACGAAAGAGAAACAACGGAUCCCCUAUUAAGUUCCUCCUUCCUCAUGCCCCUGUUCUCCCUCUAAUUCGUCUAUCGCUACGGCAUAAACCCAUCUUGAGAGAUUGCUUGUUUACUACUGUGUUGGUUGGGGCCUUUGCUCAUGGCUUCUAUUUGAUAACAGAUUUGUAGGAUAUUGAGAGCAAGUGAUUAACCAGAGCAUGUUUUAGACAUUUCAUUGGCAUCAUUUACAUCACAACCUCAGGUCUUCAAUAAGUUUCUUUCACCAUUAUUUACAGCUCAACAUUCUGGUAAUGCCUUAAAUAGCAUUGGUCGAUUUAAACGAUGUAUGAAUAUUUUUUUCAAUUAUAUUGGCAGAUUAUUAUGUUAUGUACGCCUUAUAGUUGCACCUUGUAUUGCAGUUUUUGCUUUCUCUAGAAUAACUAUGGAAUUCAGAGGAUGUUCUUUGAUCUUUUAUUUUGUCUGUCUUCAUAUCAAUGCUAUUUCUUGUCAGCUUGAUGUUGAUUUCUGUAAUAAUUAGAUGCUCUAAGUGGAUUCAGAGGAUCAAUAUGCAUAUCCUUUAUCGCUAUGGAUAAUUUCGGUCAUGUUUCAUUUGUAGUUGGAUCUGAUGUAUACAUUCAAUGGGGGGGAAUGCUUGAUUAGAUGUCUUGUGUCUUCAUUUUACAUUAUGUUGGAUUAGAUUAGAUGAUAUUCAUAUUUAAAUGUGGUUUGUGUUCCAUUUACGUGGCUUCAUAUCUGUUUUUAGCAGUGCAUUGCUCAUUUGACAAACCAUGGUAUACUAGUGUCUAGUAUGACUAUAGAUCACUUGAUGUUUCAGUCAAGUUGGUUGACUGCCCAGUUAUGCCUCCUCCAUUUUCAAUGAAAUAUAAUGACUUGCAAGAAUAGUUGUCCUACGAUGAACUAAGCAUAUUAACACAACUUAAGCUAUGUUCGUGCAUAACUAGUUCUUUCAUAAAUAUGACUUAGAUUAGCUACCUAGGACUACUUUGCUUAACCAAAAAAACAUUAACAGAAGGGAGCAACUAAAUUGUAUAGAUCGACUUUGCUUGCUGCACUAGCUACACUAAAAUUUCCAUGAACAUGAUCUAUGUUCCACAGACCAUCCCAUAAAACUUCUUCUGCUGAGGUCUCUGGUGCAGAAGAAGCAUAAGAGUUGUCAUUAAGCAUAAAGUACAAGUAUCCUUGCUCUUCUAUGGUGUUUUGGUGCAUGUUCACCAUUUCUUGUCUUCAUUGAGAUAUAUAAUAUGAUCUAUGGACCCUUCCGUUGUUCCUA